GAAACGGCAUACCAAAAAUUGAGCUUCUAACUCAAUUUAUUAGUGGUGUAAAUCCAUUAACGCUUCU
Molecule: transfer RNA, 67 nt
Filed under: Hemisodorcus sinensis
Lineage: Eukaryota; Metazoa; Arthropoda; Insecta; Coleoptera; Lucanidae
Description: tRNA-Ser
Source: RNAcentral